This 257-nucleotide ribosomal RNA is filed under the name Salmonella enterica subsp. enterica serovar Typhimurium. Its description in RNAcentral is "partial 23S ribosomal RNA". It matches the Rfam family "Bacterial large subunit ribosomal RNA", at positions 1287 to 1547 of the family's 2925-position model. The record is from RNAcentral. RNAcentral also lists the same sequence under 1 other name. Lineage: Bacteria; Pseudomonadati; Pseudomonadota; Gammaproteobacteria; Enterobacterales; Enterobacteriaceae.
AGUGCGAAUGCUGACAUAAGUAACGAUAAAGCGGGUGAAAAGCCCGCUCGCCGGAAGACCAAGGGUUCCUGUCCAACGUUAAUCGGGGCAGGGUGAGUCGACCCCUAAGGCGAGGCCGAAAGGCGUAGUCGAUGGGAAACGGGUUAAUAUUCCCGUACUUGGUGUUACUGCGAAGGGGGGACGGAGAAGGCUAUGUUGGCCGGGCGACGGUUGUCCCGGUUUAAGCGUGUAGGUGUGUGUUCCAGGUAAAUCCGGUU